AGCUCAGCGGCAGAGCGUGUGCCUCGCAGGCACGAGGCCCUGGGUUCCACCCCCAG
RNAcentral lists this transfer RNA (56 nucleotides) under Camelus bactrianus (Bactrian camel). It matches the Rfam family "tRNA", at positions 9 to 63 of the family's 71-position model. Rfam says of the family: Transfer RNA (tRNA) molecules are approximately 80 nucleotides in length. Their secondary structure includes four short double-helical elements and three loops (D, anti-codon, and T loops). Further hydrogen bonds mediate the characteristic L-shaped molecular structure. tRNAs have two regions of fundamental functional importance: the anti-codon, which is responsible for specific mRNA codon recognition, and the 3' end, to which the tRNAs corresponding amino acid is attached (by aminoacyl-tRNA synthetases). tRNAs cope with the degeneracy of the genetic code in two manners: having more than one tRNA (with a specific anti-codon) for a particular amino acid; and 'wobble' base-pairing, i.e. permitting non-standard base-pairing at the 3rd anti-codon position. The record is from Rfam by way of RNAcentral. Lineage: Eukaryota; Metazoa; Chordata; Mammalia; Artiodactyla; Camelidae. RNAcentral also lists the same sequence under 2 other names.